CACAGGCUGGCCUCGAACUCAUGACCUCAUGGUCAGAGUGAUUUAUUGCAGCAGGCUGCUCACCAGCCUGCGCCACAGCCCGGCCCCUAUGGCCCUUCGUUUCCUCAUGUUUUUCUUUGUUUCUUCUCUCCUUCAUCAGGAUUCUACUUACACCGCCCUCCUCGUUUUAAGCAGCUUCAAGAAAUAUAGGUAAUUUCUUUCAGAACAAAGUCUACAGCCCAAAUAUUGUCAUUUCUGAGGUCAGAUCAGCAUCCAUGUAUUCUUUUAUGGCAAGGAUGGGAAGAAUAUGGAGUUCCAGAUGAAGCUGAACUGCAAAUCCCAUUAUGCCCUUGCCGAUACAGCAAAUGCCUGUGAAACAUGGAUUGUCUACAAACAUCACUCUUGACUUCUGGAACGAUUCCAUAAUCGUUGCUUCUGAAAAAUCCUGCAAAUCUCUCAGGAAGACAAGUGGACAAAUGUCAGCGUGCUGGAAAAAGCAAAGACUGCUAGCACUGAAGCAAUGAUUCUCUGCCAUCAUUUUCGCUGGACCAGCCACAUUGUCCAAAUGCCUGAUCACCAUCUCCCAAAACAGUUACUAUACUCUCAACCAAGAAUGGAGAACAGAAUGUUACUGGACAGCAACAUUGAUUUAAACAUGGUCUUAAAGCUAACCUUAAAAACUAUGGAAUAGACACUGAGAAUUGGCAAGCCCUGGCCCUUGAGUGUUCUAACUGAAAGUCAGCUAUUACCAACAAUGUUGUGAAAUUUGAAGAUGCCCGAAUCGAGGGUGAAAGGGAGAAAUGUGUCAAGAGAAAGAUGCAUCAACCCUUGUCGGGACCACUUUCUACCUGGAAAUCAAUGUCCUCACUGCAAGAGAAUAUGCGGGUCCAGAAUAGAUCUCUCUAGUCACUAACGGACCCACCGCCACUUGGAAGGCAAAUCAUACAGGAGUGAUAAUCGCCUAUGAUGAUGGACCGGAGGCUAUAAAUCAGCAUCACAUUGUAUAGUUGUGGAUUGCCCAGAAGAUGGCAAUGUUUUCCUGCUGAAUGUCUUCCAUUGAGCAUUUAGAAACCACUGCCUUUCUCAGAAGAGUUUCCAGUAGCAGUUAAUUUUCUUGAAAGAGUCCUGUGGUACUAACAAGAACACUACAGCAUGAGAUUUCAUGGAUUUAUAUGUUAGACUUUGCUUGUUGCAAAACUGACUUUUUCAAAGAACUCUCCUCAUGUUAAUAUUUUGCAGUUGUUAGUAAGGUAGUUUUACUAUAUUUUUAAAAGUUAUUUCAUUUUACCCAUUUUGUCUGCAUGGGUGUCUAAGGGGGCAUUUUUUCCCAAGAAUCCUACGUUUUAAAAUUUAUUUAUUUUAUGUAUACAGGCAGGCAGACAUCUAGCCAAUGGGUAUAAAGCACGGAAAUCGAUCUUUGCGUGCUCAUUACUGGUUGUAUUUCAUUCUUUAAACAGGUCUUAUAGUUAUCCUGUUUUGUAAAAAAAGCCCAAUGUACUUUAACCCUUAUAUUAUUGCUUUGCUUUUUUCAGGGGCUACACAUAUGAACAGCAUACAUUUCUGGGGUUUCUAAAAAAAAACUCUCUCAAUAUAACUGGGCUAUUAUACAAUCAUAUUCUCUUCAAAUCCCGCUUUUCCAAUAAGUAUUUCAUUGCAUUUUGUUAAGAAACCUAAUGUAACGUAAUUUAGAUUUCUUACCUGUAAAUGUUUCUACAUGUAUAAGGAAGCAUUUUUAAAUGCACCAUAAUAACCUAUCAAAACCAUCCACAAACAUUUACUGCAGAGAUAUAAAUGAACACUUUGUUUACACAAUGCAGCUUAAACGACUUUGCUGUCAAUAUUAACUGUAGGAGAGUCUCUGCAAUACGCUUAUUAAUCUCUGCAAAAUCUUUCUCCU
Molecule: long non-coding RNA, 1876 nt
Organism: Anolis carolinensis (green anole)
Lineage: Eukaryota; Metazoa; Chordata; Lepidosauria; Squamata; Anolidae
Source: Ensembl